UAAGCGGAGGAAAAGAAACUAACAAGGAUUCCCCUAGUANCUGCGAGUGAAGCGGGAAANGCUCAAAUUUAAAAUCUGGUGGCCUUUGUCCAUCCGAGUUGUAAUUUAGAGAAGCGUCUUCCGCGCUGGACCGUGCACAAGUCUCCUGGAAUGGAGCGUCAUAGAGGGUGAGAAUCCCGUCUUUGGCACGGACACACCAGGGCUUUUGUGAUGCGCUCUCAAAGAGUCGAGUUGUUUGGGAAUGCAGCUCAAAAUGGGUGGUGAACUCCAUCUAAAGCUAAAUAUUGGCGAGAGACCGAUAGCGAACAAGUACCGUGAGGGAAAGAUGAAAAGCACUUUGGAAAGAGAGUGAAACAGUACGUGAAAUUGUUGAAAGGGAAACGCUUGAAGUCAGUCGCGUCGCCCGAGACUCAGCCUUGCCUCGGCUUGGUGUACUUCUCGGCUGACGGGUCAGCAUCAAUUUUGCCCCUUGGAUAAUGGCGAGGGAAAUGUGACACCUUUACGGGUGUGUUAUAGUCUCUCGUCGCAUGCAAGGGUCGGGAUUGAGGAACUCAGCACGCGCCUUUGGGCGUCGGGGCGUUCGCCCACGAUACGUGCUUAGGAUGUUGGCGUAAUGGCUUUAAACGACC
RNAcentral lists this ribosomal RNA (629 nucleotides) under uncultured Russulaceae. RNAcentral describes it as "LSU rRNA". It matches the Rfam family "Eukaryotic large subunit ribosomal RNA", at positions 47 to 649 of the family's 3401-position model. Lineage: Eukaryota; Fungi; Basidiomycota; Agaricomycetes; Russulales; Russulaceae. The record is from RNAcentral.